CAGCAGCGCGUAUACGUAGGUGCGAGGCUGUCGAUAUCGCGUAAGAGCUCGUAGCCGCUGUCGCGUCGAUGUGAAAGGCCAGGCUAACCCGGGUCUGCGUCGAUCCGGCAGGCUAGAGUCGGCAAGGAGAUUGGAAUUCCUGCUGUAACCGGUGAAUGCGCAGAUAAUCAGGAGGAACACCGCGGCGAAGGCGGAUCUCUGGCCCGAUACUGACGCUGAGGAGCGAAAGCGUGGGAGCGAACCAGGAUUAGAUACCCUGGUAGUCACGCGUAAACGUUGGGCACUAAGGUGUGGGCGGCAUUCACGUUGUCCGUGCCGCAGCUAACGCAUUAAGUGCCCCGCCUUGGGAGUACGGCCGCAAGGCUAAAACUCAAAGGAAUUGACGGGGGCCCGCACCAGCGGCGGAGCAUGUGGCUUAAUUUGACGCAACGCGAAGAACCUUACCAAGGCUUGACAUUCACCGGAAAGCCGGAGAGAUAAGGCCCCCCUUGUGGUCGGUGUACCGGUGGUGCAAGGCCGUUGUCAGCUCGUGUCGUGAGAUGUUGGGUUAAGUCCCGCAACGAGCGCAACCCUUGUCCUGUGUUGCCAGCA
RNAcentral lists this ribosomal RNA (591 nucleotides) under Streptomyces sp. Its description in RNAcentral is "bacterial SSU rRNA". It matches the Rfam family "Bacterial small subunit ribosomal RNA", at positions 512 to 1123 of the family's 1533-position model. Lineage: Bacteria; Bacillati; Actinomycetota; Actinomycetes; Kitasatosporales; Streptomycetaceae. The record is from RNAcentral.